Molecule: long non-coding RNA, 224 nt
Filed under: Lathyrus oleraceus (garden pea)
Lineage: Eukaryota; Viridiplantae; Streptophyta; Magnoliopsida; Fabales; Fabaceae
Description: Pisum sativum (pea) long non-coding RNA (PSAT_LNC022128)
Source: RNAcentral
UUUGUUUGACCAUGUUAGACCUAUGAGAAUUUAAUUGGACUUGUUAAAGUUGAUUUGAAUUAAAUUUGAGGUUUGACCAUAUUUUGUUUAUUUUAUUUUUGCAUUUAUUUUUAAUUCAAAAAUACCAAAAAAAUAUGUUUGCCUUGUUGACUUGUAAUCUUCAUUUCUCUUUUGUUUAGCAUUGGUUGAUGAUGACUUGGUUCACAUUUGAUCAAUUGUGUUUG